This 411-nucleotide ribosomal RNA is filed under the name uncultured bacterium. RNAcentral describes it as "bacterial SSU rRNA". It matches the Rfam family "Bacterial small subunit ribosomal RNA", at positions 355 to 774 of the family's 1533-position model. The record is from RNAcentral.
UCGAGGAUCUUCGGCAAUGGGCGCAAGCCUGACCGAGCGACGCCGCGUGUGCGAUGAAGGCCUUCGGGUUGUAAAGCACUGUCGAGGGGAAGAAAAGCCGCAAGGCUUGAUCGACCCCUGGAGGAAGCACGGGCUAAGUUCGUGCCAGCAGCCGCGGUAAGACGAACCGUGCGAACGUUGUUCGGAAUCACUGGGCUUAAAGGGCGCGUAGGCGGGUCAGCAAGUCAGGGGUGAAAGCCCACGGCUUAACCGUGGAAGUGCCUUUGAUACUGCUGGUCUUGAGGGAGGUAGGGGCGUGCGGAACUUCCGGUGGAGCGGUGAAAUGCGUAGAUAUCGGAAGGAACACCGGUGGCGAAAGCGGCGCGCUGGAUCUCUACUGACGCUGAGGCGCGAAAGCCAGGGGAGCAAACG